UACGGGGGGGGCUAGCGUUGUUCGGAAUUACUGGGCGUAAAGGGCGCGUAGGCGGCCUACUAAGUCGGACGUGAAAUCCCUCGGCUCAACCGGGGAACUGCAUCUGAUACUGGAUGGCUUGAGUUCGGGAGAGGGAUGCGGAAUUCCAGGUGUAGCGGUGAAAUGCGUAGAUAUCUGGAGGAACACCGGUGGCGAAGGCGGCAUCCUGGACCGACACUGACGCUGAGGAGCGAAAGCCAGGGGAGCAAACGGG
This 253-nucleotide ribosomal RNA is filed under the name uncultured bacterium. Its description in RNAcentral is "partial 16S ribosomal RNA". It matches the Rfam family "Bacterial small subunit ribosomal RNA", at positions 524 to 776 of the family's 1533-position model. The record is from RNAcentral.